This 2882-nucleotide long non-coding RNA is filed under the name Homo sapiens (human). RNAcentral describes it as "HSALNT0324060". The record is from RNAcentral. Lineage: Eukaryota; Metazoa; Chordata; Mammalia; Primates; Hominidae.
AGCUGCAAGUGAGACUGGAAAAAUGGCUCUCAGAGUUCCCGCCUCUGCAGUAGAGGAAGACACUCCAGAAGGAGUUGAGAAUGGGUGCUGAGUGCCUCUUCAGGAUGUCUGUCACACCUCAGGAAACCUGCCAGGAAUACCAAAGGGAGUGAAAAAUCCAAGGUUGGGAAGCCCUGGGACAUUGAAGUUACAACUGGACGAUAAAAACAGAGUUUUUUCCUUGUGACGUGACCACUGUGAUGUAAAGCUGUAUCUCCUUCAUUUCAUCAAGAAAUUCUUAAAAUUCUCCCCCAACGUGCUUUCAUCUUUCCCUUCAUUGCCAACUCUGUAAGAAGUACCACGCCUUUUCUUUGAAUCUGAUUCUCCUCCAAGAAGCAAUGCUUCUCUGAGGCUUUCACCUUUGCUCACAUCAAAGCCCCCACACUGAAUAAAUACCAUCCUUACAUGCCCUUCCAGAGACUCCACUAAUGGACGAGCUUCAUCCAGCAAAAGAUAACUGGGGAAACUUCAGCAAAAGGACUGUUGAUGAAAAUUUGCUGUAUUUGAUUAUAUAGCUAAGACUAAAACAGGGAACAUGGUUGGAAUUAUACUAAGUAAAUAUGAUAUGUUCUCACAAAGUAGAAAGAAUGCAACUAACUAAUAUAGAAGAAGAGGGAAAGUAAAAUAGUAUUGUUUACAAUUUUAUAGGUAUUGGGUGUGAGUUAAAUUAUACCACUUAAAAUGAACAGAACAGACAGUAAAAAGUGAAGUAAGAAAAAAGGACAGAGGUAUCAUAAAAGAUACAAAUUCAGAGGUAUUGAAAUACUUAUGCAUCAAAACAACUAUGGCAAAAUUUUACUGAUUCAGUAUUAUGCCUAUGAAAAUUAUUCAGUUCAGUGAUUUGGAGAAGAGGGUAAAGAAAUGUUUACACAUCAGAAUCUGUGGAGGGGAGAAUGUGUGUCUGGAAAGAAAAUGGUAUUUUGUCUCAUUGGUUUGAUUUGUUUUUAGUUAUAAUAUUUCAUCUAUUUUGAAUUUUAUAAAAAUAACAGUAAUGUAUGUGAUUUUUAUGCUGAUGAAGAGAAAAUGGAUUCAAAAAGGUUAAGAAACACUAAUCCAAGGGAGCCUCCAGAAUAAUUGUGGCCAUCUGAAUUUGAACCUCCUCACAGAACCCUUAAAUUCAACAGGAGCACAAGAUAAUCACCCAUGGUCCAUGCCUUCAGCGUUAGUGGAAGAUGGAGGAUACCGCAAAUGUUAAGUGACCAAUAAGUAGAGAAACAAACACCAUAUUCCCAAUGAACUCCCAUCACUUAUACCCACUGUAAGCUGUGUGCAGAGAGUGGGAGAGAGAAGACUUAAAAUCCCCAGGAAAAAGAGGAAAGAGGCAGAGAAAACUUAGACAUAGCAUAAACAAAAUCACCUCCAGAAAGUAAAAGUUUCACUGCUAAGUGACACAUUCACAGCACAGUUAAAGGGAAGGGGAUUGAAAAUAAGCAGAACCAGAAGUAGCAGCUUCAAAGGAGCAUUGCUUCUUGGGGAGAAUCACAUAAACUAAGAAACAGUAGUGCUCCUUAGAGACUUGAUAGUGAUGAGAAAGAAGGAGCUAAGAGGGAAAAAUAGAGGAUCUUGCAGAAAUUAGAGAGAAAUAAGACAUAAUGGCCCACUAUCCCAUUACUACCCAUUUCUGCACUGCACUGACAGGAGAGGAUAUUCCUGAAUUAAGAACCUGUCCAAAAAAUUUUAAAAUAAAUUUUAAAAAGCAACCUAAUUCCAAAAAGAGCUACUAUUAGAAGAACACAUACACACACAAAUGCGAAUCAUUACAGUUUAACUGAUGAGAAUUCUUAACCAAAACCAACCAAAGAGCAGAAGAAAACUGUAACCCAACAUUCCAAACUGAAGUAGUUAUCUUCAAACAAUGGGACGUAUUUAGAAAAAAAAAAAAACCCAGAAACAGAAAUUUGAUAACUAAGGCCAUAGUGGGCACAAAAUAGGAAGACAUGCAAUGAGUUGAUUGAGCUAUGGAAUGAAAUUCAAGAAAAAUACAAAAUCAUUUCAAAAAUGAAGAAUAGAUUACAAGGUAGUGAGGGAUAGUAGAUUUGAACAUUGAACAAUUUCAACAUUGAAAAGGGGCAGUAAAAUAACGAAGGGAAUAAAGAAGGAUGUAAACAGGGUUAAACACAAGUGAUUGGAAUGGAGGAUGGGCAAAUAGGAUCCAACAUACAUAUGAUAGGAGCUCCUGGAGAAGAAAAACAAAGCAAUGGAAUGGAACUGUAAUUCAAGAAAACUUUCCAGAAAGAAGAGAAAAUAUAAUGAAUACUUGUCAUUGAAAUUAGGGCCCACCUGGAUAAUCCAUGAUGAUCUCAUCUCAAGAUCCUUAACUUAAUGACAUCUGCAGAGACUGGUUUAUCAAAUAAGGGACUGUGGCUAUAUCGCUGACCUCAAGAAAACCUGCGGACAAAAUCUGCUAAAGAAGUAUCAGCAUCUAUUUCAAAAGUUAGCCAUUAUUUUAAGAAGACUGUGCUGGAAGACGGGUAUUUAACACAAACAGAUGCAAAAGAUACGGGGUUUCACCGUGUUGACCAGACUGAUUUUGAACUUCUGGGCUCAAUCAGUCCACCUGCCUCGGCCUCCCAAAGUGCUGAGAUUAUAGGUGUGAGCCCCUGCGCCUGGCCAGGGAUGCCGUUCUUCACUCUCCAAUUGAGCAGCCAUUAUAUAUCAGGCACUAUAGGAGUUCCUGGAGGAUACUGGUCUGAAGUUAGCAUGAUCUUGACUCAAGAAACUUAUAGUCCUGAUAAGAACUUCCACCAGAAUUCCAGAUAAGGCAGCACAGGCCUUGCUGUUUGCCCAUGCCCAUGCGGUCAGCUCUCUUGGGUACCGUGGCAUGCAGAUGCAGACACUCACCC